Molecule: unclassified non-coding RNA, 442 nt
Filed under: Hevea brasiliensis (rubber tree)
Lineage: Eukaryota; Viridiplantae; Streptophyta; Magnoliopsida; Malpighiales; Euphorbiaceae
Source: RNAcentral
GCAGAAGUGACUCACGAUACCUCUGUGAUUGGAUUACAAAGGGUAGCACUUUCUAUGAUCACAAUUCUUGAUGGAAAGUGACUGUCCAUGUGGUUAUCUCCAUUUCCCAUUUCUUGAACUGGAAUUUUUUUUUUCUUUUUAAAAGGCGCUUUGCACUAUAUGCUGGCAUUUUUUGGGCCUGAUGAUUUUAAUAAUUUAUUUAUCCUUCAAAAGCAUUAAGUAUGAGGAAGCUAUACAUGAAUUGUUUGCUUCAGAUUCUUUCUGUACACAGUUGUCAUUUUUCCCAAUACUAGGCAAAUUAUGAGUUCCUUGCUUUUUGAGUUAAGACAUACUUCCAUAGUUGAGUCAAAUCGUCUUGUUUUGCUAGUCCAUUCCCACUCAUAGUUCUGAUGCAACUUCUAUUAACAAAUUGAUUUUCUGAGAAGGCCACAGGUGGUGGGGC